This 253-nucleotide ribosomal RNA is filed under the name uncultured bacterium. RNAcentral describes it as "partial 16S ribosomal RNA". It matches the Rfam family "Bacterial small subunit ribosomal RNA", at positions 524 to 776 of the family's 1533-position model. The record is from RNAcentral.
UACAGAGGUCCCAAGCGUUGUUCGGAUUCAUUGGGCGUAAAGGGUGCGUAGGCUGCGCCAUAAGUCGGAUGUGAAAUCUCGGGGCUCAACCCUGAAACUGCAUUCGAUACUGUGGUGCUAGAGGACUCUAGAGGAAACUGGAAUUCACGGUGUAGCAGUGAAAUGCGUAGAUAUCGUGAGGAAGACCAGUGGCGAAGGCGGGUUUCUGGAGAGUUCCUGACGCUGAGGCACGAAGGCCAGGGGAGCGAACGGG